RNAcentral lists this long non-coding RNA (349 nucleotides) under Zea mays. RNAcentral's name for it is "long non-coding RNA (ZMAY_LNC002687)". Lineage: Eukaryota; Viridiplantae; Streptophyta; Magnoliopsida; Poales; Poaceae. The record is from RNAcentral.
GGAGCUAUCCACGGGAACCGCCAAGAUGCGGCAAGAACUCAAGGAGGUAACCCACCAGGUUUCCUGGCUGCAACACGUGGAUUGCCAACCAGAACAGUUGUUGCUGCUGUUCCAGCACGGUCCUCAGGCGAGGCUCCAAACCAUAUCUUUAGUGUUAUCCUACCUGUUCAAGUGAGGGGUCAAGUUGUAGUGCCUAAUCAGUCCUCUCAAGGUUCUCAAACAGCAGUGGGCAAUGGAGCUCAAGGAAAUUCAACAUCUGCUAUUCCACAAGCUUCUGUUGGUGGUGUUUCUGGUGUUCCUCUUAUAGCGGCACAGGUAGCCAAUGCAUUGGCAAAUGCACCAAGCCAGG